AUACGAUGAUUAUUCACGAUGAGUGUCCACACAGAUUGAUAGUUCACAAGCGCAAGCUUGUAGCUAACAUAGCUCUUUAACAAUUUGGAAAGCUGACAAAACAACAAUUUAUUGUUGUUUGUAAAGUUCUCAAUGUUUGUCUUUAAGACAAACACCAAAAUAACACAUUCAAGUGUUCUUGGAAUUUGAGUCCGGCAAAAUCGAGUCUGCAUCAUGUAUAAAAAUUGCAGACAACUUUGGUGACUUGUUCAUCAACUCGAAACUCCUUCGGGUUGUAU
This 278-nucleotide unclassified non-coding RNA is filed under the name Vibrio parahaemolyticus. Its description in RNAcentral is "16S-23S ribosomal RNA intergenic spacer". Lineage: Bacteria; Pseudomonadati; Pseudomonadota; Gammaproteobacteria; Vibrionales; Vibrionaceae. The record is from RNAcentral.